RNAcentral lists this ribosomal RNA (400 nucleotides) under uncultured Alphaproteobacteria bacterium. RNAcentral describes it as "bacterial SSU rRNA". It matches the Rfam family "Bacterial small subunit ribosomal RNA", at positions 29 to 455 of the family's 1533-position model. Lineage: Bacteria; Pseudomonadati; Pseudomonadota; Alphaproteobacteria. The record is from RNAcentral.
AACGAACGCUGCGGCAGGCUUAACACAUGCAAGUCGAACGGGUGUAGCAAUACAUCAGUGGCAGACGGGUGAGUAACACGUGGGAACCUUCCUAGGGGUACGGAACAACUCAGGGAAACUUGAGCUAAUACCGUAUACGUCCGUGAGGAGAAAGAUUUAUCGCCCUUAGACGGGCCCGCGUCGGAUUAGCUAGUUGGUGGGGUAACGGCCUACCAAGGCGACGAUCCGUAGCUGAUCUUAGAGGAUGAUCAGCCACACUGGGACUGAGACACGGCCCAGACUCCUACGGGAGGCAGCAGUGGGGAAUCUUGGACAAUGGGCGCAAGCCUGAUCCAGCCAUGCCGCGUGAGUGAAGAAGGUCUUCGGAUUGUAAAGCUCUUUUGCCAGGGACGAUAAUGAC